UACGUAGGGUGCAAGCGUUAUCCGGAAUCACUGGGCGUAAAGCGUGCGUAGGUGGCGCGUUAAGUGAGAUGUUAAAUCGUGUGGCUCAACCAUAUCGAUGCGUCUCAUACUGGCGUGCUAGAGGACAGCAGAGGCAAGUGGAAUUGGUAGUGUAGCAGUGAAAUGCGUAGAUAUUACCAGGAACACCAAUGGCGAAGGCAGCUUGCUGGGCUACUCCUGACACUGAGGUACGAAAGCGUGGGGAGCGAACAGG
RNAcentral lists this ribosomal RNA (253 nucleotides) under uncultured bacterium. RNAcentral's name for it is "partial 16S ribosomal RNA". It matches the Rfam family "Bacterial small subunit ribosomal RNA", at positions 524 to 776 of the family's 1533-position model. The record is from RNAcentral.